Molecule: long non-coding RNA, 416 nt
Filed under: Neogale vison (American mink)
Lineage: Eukaryota; Metazoa; Chordata; Mammalia; Carnivora; Mustelidae
Description: Neovison vison (American mink) lncRNA (ENSNVIG00000022523.1)
Source: RNAcentral
CUGGAACACAAGAUGAAGGGAGUUUGGAUCUCAGUUGCCAAAGACUUCUCAGUUACCAAUAGGUUGGGCUAGCUUUGGACCCAGGUCAGUCUGGCUCCAUAUUUUACCCACUUCUUCUCCUUCCCCAAUCCUAAAACACUUGGGAGCCGAAGGGAAAGGUCCUAAUGGAACUUGGGUGUUUCCUGAGGGGUCCAAAGGGGAUUUCCUGGAGUCAGAAUGGCCAAGUUUCCUGAAGUUAAACAGUUGACACAGACAAAUAACAGACACUCCCAGAAACAUGAAACCAACAGCCAACGAACCGACCAACAGUCAACCAACGGACCUACAGCACCACCAACAAAAAAAUGGUCUUUUCAACAGAUGAAGAAUCUGAGCUUCAGGAAGGUUAAGCAGGUUUGCUUGAGAUCACAAAGCUG